UACGUAGGGUGCAAGCGUUAAUCGGAAUUACUGGGCGUAAAGCGUGCGCAGGCGGUUGUGCAAGACCGAUGUGAAAUCCCCGGGCUCAACCUGGGAAUGGCAUUGGUGACUGCACGGCUAGAGUGUGUCAGAGGGGGGUAGAAUUCCACGUGUAGCAGUGAAAUGCGUAGAGAUGUGGAGGAAUACCGAUGGCGAAGGCAGCCCCCUGGGAUAACACUGACGCUCAUGCACGAAGGCGUGGGGAGCAAACAGG
Molecule: ribosomal RNA, 253 nt
Filed under: uncultured bacterium
Lineage: Bacteria
Description: partial 16S ribosomal RNA
Rfam family: Bacterial small subunit ribosomal RNA
Source: RNAcentral